CGCGCGAUACAGGGUGACAGCCCCGUACACAAAAGCGCAUGUGUUGUGAGCUCGAUGAGUAGGGCGGGACACGUGGUAUCCUGUCUGAAUAUGGGGGGACCAUCCUCCAAGGCUAAAUACUCCUGACUGACCGAUAGUGAACCAGUACCGUGAGGGAAAGGCGAAAAGAACCCCGGCGAGGGGAGUGAAAAAGAACCUGAAACCGUGUACGUACAAGCAGUGGGAGCACCCUUCGGGGUGUGACUGCGUACCUUUUGUAUAAUGGGUCAGCGACUUAUAUUCUGUAGCAAGGUUAACCGAAUAGGGGAGCCGGAGGGAAACCGAGUCUUAAUUGGGCGUUAAGUUGCAGGGUAUAGACCCGAAACCCGGUGAUCUAGCCAUGGGCAGGUUGAAGGUUGGGUAACACUAACUGGAGGACCGAACCGACUAAUGUUGAAAAAUUAGCGGAUGACCUGUGGCUGGGGGUGAAAGGCCAAUCAAACCGGGAGAUAGCUGGUUCUCCCCGAAAGCUAUUUAGGUAGCGCCUCGUGAAUUCAUCUCCGGGGGUAGAGCACUGUUUCGGCUAGGGGGCCAUCCCGGCUUACCAACCCGAUGCAAACUGCGAAUACCGGAGAAUGUUAUCACGGGAGACACACGGCGGGUGCUAACGUCCGUCGUGAAGAGGGAAACAACCCAGACCGCCAGCUAAGGUCCCAAAGUCAUGGUUAAGUGGGAAACGAUGUGGGAAGGCCCAGACAGCCAGGAUGUUGGCUUAGAAGCAGCCAUCAUUUAAAGAAAGCGUAAUAGCUCACUGGUCGAGUCGGCCUGCGCGGAAGAUGUAACGGGGCUAAACCAUGCACCGAAGCUGCGGCAGCGACACUGUGUGUUGUUGGGUAGGGGAGCGUUCUGUAAGCCUGUGAAGGUGUGUCGUGAGGCAUGCUGGAGGUAUCAGAAGUGCGAAUGCUGACAUAAGUAACGAUAAAGCGGGUGAAAAGCCCGCUCGCCGGAAGACCAAGGGUUCCUGUCCAACGUUAAUCGGGGCAGGGUGAGUCGACCCCUAAGGCGAGGCCGAAAGGCGUAGUCGAUGGGAAACGGGUUAAUAUUCCCGUACUUGGUGUUACUGCGAAGGGGGGACGGAGAAGGCUAUGUUGGCCGGGCGACGGUUGUCCCGGUUUAAGCGUGUAGGUGUGUGUUCCAGGUAAAUCCGGUUCACUUUAACACUGAGGCGUGACGACGAGGCACUACGGUGCUGAAGCAACAAAUGCCCUGCUUCCAGGAAAAGCCUCUAAGCAUCAGGUAACAUCAAAUCGUACCCCAAACCGACACAGGUGGUCAGGUAGAGAAUACCAAGGCGCUUGAGAGAACUCGGGUGAAGGAACUAGGCAAAAUGGUGCCGUAACUUCGGGAGAAGGCACGCUGACACGUAGGUGAAGUGAUUUACUCAUGGAGCUGAAGUCAGUCGAAGAUACCAGCUGGCUGCAACUGUUUAUUAAAAACACAGCACUGUGCAAACACGAAAGUGGACGUAUACGGUGUGACGCCUGCCCGGUGCCGGAAGGUUAAUUGAUGGGGUCAGCGCAAGCGAAGCUCCUGAUCGAAGCCCCGGUAAACGGCGGCCGUAACUAUAACGGUCCUAAGGUAGCGAAAUUCCUUGUCGGGUAAGUUCCGACCUGCACGAAUGGCGUAAUGAUGGCCAGGCUGUCUCCACCCGAGACUCAGUGAAAUUGAACUCGCUGUGAAGAUGCAGUGUACCCGCGGCAAGACGGAAAGACCCCGUGAACCUUUACUAUAGCUUGACACUGAACAUUGAGCCUUGAUGUGUAGGAUAGGUGGGAGGCUUUGAAGCGUGGACGCCAGUCUGCGUGGAGCCGACCUUGAAAUACCACCCUUUAAUGUUU
This 1877-nucleotide ribosomal RNA is filed under the name Salmonella enterica subsp. enterica serovar Stanley. Its description in RNAcentral is "partial 23S ribosomal RNA". It matches the Rfam family "Bacterial large subunit ribosomal RNA", at positions 351 to 2215 of the family's 2925-position model. Lineage: Bacteria; Pseudomonadati; Pseudomonadota; Gammaproteobacteria; Enterobacterales; Enterobacteriaceae. The record is from RNAcentral.